CAAAAACUGGGUCCCUAACUUGUAAUUAAGUAUCUAUCCAAGUGUCUAUCUUCCACAGAGAACACACAGUCUUGGAGUCUCACUUUCUACUGAUCAGGACCAUUAACCCCGCAACCUAGUUAGGCUACCAGGUUGGGCAGAUUUCUAUAGGACCUGGUCCCCUAAAGAGUAAAAAUCCCUCAACUGCUCCUUACUCCCUAACUUCAAAAGGAUCCAAAGGAUUUGGUUACCCGACAGGCCUGAGAUAAAGGCUUGAUUGUCUUUCCAGGAUUUCAAACCUGUUCUUUGGGGAUGGCCCAACCCCACUUGUUCAGUUUUGCAGCCAGAAGCAUGGAUUCAUCAUCAGUAUGGUGGGACGCUACUUCAGACUGCUUUCAUGUCAAGAUCUGCCUCAUCUUCCAAAGUGGGAGUUCCCAGCAUUAGGCUUGUGGGGGUGGAAGCUUAAUCCGCCUCCUUCCAAAAACUGAAGUGAGUCACUACCAACCUUGUCUCUCCACCCUUUACUGGGUCCAUACACAGCCCUGCCUUUUUUUAAGGAGGUGGAACCCAGCCUAAGGUCUCUCUGGCCAGACGCGGUGGCUCACACCUGUAAUCUCAGCACUUUGGGAGGCUAAGGCAAGUGGAGCACGAGGUCAGGAGAUCGAGACCAUCCUGGCCAACAUGGUGAAACCCCAUCUCUACUGAAAAUACAAAAAUUAGCCGGGCAUGGUGGCUUGUGCCUGUAAUCCCAGCUACUCGAGAGACUGAGGCGAGAGAAUUGCUUGAACCCGGGAGGCAGAGGUUGCAGUGAGCCAAGAUCCCACCACUGCACAUCAGCCUGGGCGACAGAACCAGAUUCUGUCUGAGAAAAAAAAAAAAAAAGAAAGAAAGCCAACCAAUUCUUGCUGUAACUUCUGAAAAAGAACACAGUGCUGUGGCAGCAAUAAUGAUGACAUUCUUCCAAGGGGCAGGAUAAGAAAGAGGCAAAACAGCUGCUGGAGGUGGAUUUUUGGCAUUAGGGAAGUGUGAAAUGUGAAAAAUCGCUAUCACAGAAGAUCAAAGGAGUUAAGAAAAACUCACAAUUUAGAGCUACCUGUUUGUAUUAGUCUGUUUUUAUACCGCUAUAAAGAUACUACCUGAGACUGGGUAAUUUAUAAAGAAAAGAGAUUUAAUUGACUCACAGUUCCACAUGUCUGGGGAGGCCUCAGGAAACUUACAAUCAUGGUGGAAGGUGAAGGGGAAGCAGGCACCUUCUUCACAAGGCAGCAGGAGGGAGGGAGAGAGAAGCAAAGUGGGAAGAGCUCCUUAUAAAACCAUCAGAUCUAUGAGAACUCACUCAUUGUCAUAAGAACAGCAUGGGGGAACCUCCCCCAUGAUCCAAUCACCUCCCACCAGGUCUCUCCCUCAACACCCGGGAAUUACAAUUCAAGAUAAGAGGCCGGGCACUCACCUGUAAUCCUAGCACUUUGGGAGGCCGAGGCGGGCAGAUGGCCUGAGCUCAGGAGUUUGAGACCAGCCUGGGCAACAUGGUGAAACCCCAUCUCUACUAAAAUACAAACAACAACAACAAAAAUUAGCGGGCGUGGCAGCGUGUGCCUGUAGUCCCAGGUACUCAGGAGGCUGAGGCAGGAGAAGUGCUUGAACCCUGGAAGCAGAGGUUGCAGUGAGCUGAGAUCGUGCCACUGCACUCCAGCAUGGCGACAGAGCGAGACUCCAUCUCAAAAAACAAAAACAAAAACAAUUCAAGAUGAAAUUUGAGUGGGGACACAAAGCCUAAACAUAUCACUGUUUUACAGCGUAAACAGUCACCUAAGUUAACUGUGUUAGAUAUGGUUUCUUGCAUACAUUUUCACUACCUUCUCUAUAUACUCCAUUUUUACUCUACAGAAUUAUAGAAACUGGAAGGCUCAAAACUAUAUUUCCCACUUUUCACCAUCCAUAAAAGUCACAAUUGUAAAUCUAAGUGGGACAAUAACAGUUUCACAAGAAAACAGAAGAAUACUCACGAUUUUGGAAUCCACAAAGAUUUCUUAAACUGGAGACACACAAAAUAAAUAAGCCAUAAAGGAAAACAUCUGAUAAACUAAACUAAUUCAAAAUUAUGAAUGUCUUCUUCAAAAUACACUAUUAAAAGAGUGAAUAAAAUAAGCCACAGAGUGGGCUGGGCACAGUGGCUCACGCCUGUAAUCCCAGCACUUUGGGAGGCCGAAGCAGGCAGAUCACAAGGUCAGGAGAUUGAGACCAUCCUGGCUCACAUGGUGAAACCCCGUCUCU
RNAcentral lists this long non-coding RNA (2253 nucleotides) under Homo sapiens (human). RNAcentral's name for it is "HSALNT0043795". Lineage: Eukaryota; Metazoa; Chordata; Mammalia; Primates; Hominidae. The record is from RNAcentral.